Molecule: long non-coding RNA, 365 nt
Filed under: Cricetulus griseus (Chinese hamster)
Lineage: Eukaryota; Metazoa; Chordata; Mammalia; Rodentia; Cricetidae
Description: lncRNA (ENSCGRG00015034684.1)
Source: RNAcentral
CACUUGCAUGCAGAGCCUACAGAGGUCAGAAGAAAGCAUCAGAUCCCCUGGAACUGGAGUUACAUAUAGUUAUGAGCCACCAUAUGGAUGCUGGGAAUCCAUCGAGAUCCUCUAGAAGAGCAGGCAGUGCUCUGGGCCAUCUUUCUAGCUCCUGACAGGUAGUUUUGAUAUACGUGCUGAAGGAUGGAAAGGAUGCUUAAAUGAACAGUGCUGCUUUGAAGCUGUGUACUUAUUAAAUCAGGUUUGCGGACUUCAGACUCCACGUCAUAACCCUUUUCUGAAAUGGGAGAAGUCAUUGAGGCAGCCCGGCAAAUGAGCUGUGCAGUCUGUGUUCUUGUGCUGAUGACCCGGAAGCCUGAGCAAAU